Molecule: long non-coding RNA, 198 nt
Organism: Perca flavescens (yellow perch)
Lineage: Eukaryota; Metazoa; Chordata; Actinopteri; Perciformes; Percidae
Exons: 3
Source: RefSeq, a predicted model, not a curated record
CAGAAACACUCAUGUUGCUGCAACUCAGGUACUCUGUGGCAACUGCAUCCCAGGGCUAACCAAGCCCGGGCCCCCACAAGGGCUCACGAUGAACGGGGUUGGUGGUGCGACCGACAUCAUCCCCCUGGCGGAGCGCAACAGGCCGUCGGGUGGCGGAACAGGCCCAGACAAGGCCCCAGCAGAGGCCCACAAACAAGC